RNAcentral lists this long non-coding RNA (261 nucleotides) under Daucus carota (carrot). RNAcentral describes it as "long non-coding RNA (DCAR_LNC006849)". Lineage: Eukaryota; Viridiplantae; Streptophyta; Magnoliopsida; Apiales; Apiaceae. The record is from RNAcentral.
AAGCCUGUUUACGCCUCUUCCUGAUGCAUAUACCAGUGCCUUCUGCUUCUUCUGUGUCCGAGUCCUCAACCACAUUGACAAUCUUAAAUGUUGUGGUGCUUUGAAGAGUUGGCACAUCAUUCGAAGGCUCUUCAGGCAGUACUUUCUCCUUCACCACAGGACCUUGUGAUGGCGGAGAUUGUCCAGAAGGUGCUGCAGGUACCAAGUCAAGAGCCACUACACCUGCUACAUUAUUAGCUUCCCCAACAGGCUUUGUCGUCU